GGAAUCUUGGACAAUGGGGGCAACCCUGAUCCAGCGAUGCCGCGUGGGUGAAGAAGGCCUUCGGGUUGUAAAGCCCUUUAGGUUGGGAAGAAGUGUACGGGCGGAAUAAUCCCGUAUGUUGACGGUACCAACAGAAUAAGCACCGGCAACCUCUGUGCCAGCAGCCGCGGUAAAACAGAGGGUGCAAGCGUUAAUCGGAGUUACUGGGCGUAAAGGGCGCGUAGGCGGUUUAUCAAGUGUGGUGUGAAAGCCCUGGGCUUAACCUGGGAAGCGCACCGCAAACUGAUGAACUGGAGUACAAGAGAGGGUGGCGGAAUUUCCGGUGUAGCGGUGAAAUGCGUAGAGAUCGGAAGGAACGUCAAUGGCGAAGGCAGCCACCUGGCUUGAUACUGACGCUGAGGCGCGAAAGCGUGGGUAGCGAAC
RNAcentral lists this ribosomal RNA (423 nucleotides) under uncultured bacterium. Its description in RNAcentral is "bacterial SSU rRNA". It matches the Rfam family "Bacterial small subunit ribosomal RNA", at positions 358 to 773 of the family's 1533-position model. The record is from RNAcentral.